AAAGCUGGGCACUGGCCCAGGCAUGGCUUCCUCCUAUAAUUCCUAGGACACCACAAGCCUUCUGGUUCUCAGCUGUUGCUAAUAACAUGGGGGCUGGGCAUGGCAGUGUACUCCUGUAAUCCUAACACCAACACCGGGAGGCAGAGG
This is a long non-coding RNA of Perognathus longimembris pacificus (Pacific pocket mouse), 147 nucleotides long. RefSeq lists it as uncharacterized. The transcript has 3 exons. The record is from RefSeq and is a predicted model, not a curated record. NCBI's taxonomy places the organism in Eukaryota, Metazoa, Chordata, Mammalia, Rodentia, Heteromyidae.